Molecule: ribosomal RNA, 454 nt
Filed under: uncultured bacterium
Lineage: Bacteria
Description: partial 16S ribosomal RNA
Rfam family: Bacterial small subunit ribosomal RNA
Source: RNAcentral
GAUGAACGCUGACAGAAUGCUUAACACAUGCAAGUCAACUUGAACUUCGGUAUGGGUGGCGGACGGGUGAGUGACGCGUAAAGAACUUGCCUCACAGCUAGGGACAACAUUUGGAAACGAAUGCUAAUACCUGAUAUUAUGAUUAUAUGGCACCGUAUAACUAUGAAAGCUAUAUGCGCUGUGAGAGAGCUUUGCGUCCAAUUAGCUAGUUGGAGAGGUAACAGCUCACCAAGGCGAUGAUGGGUAGCCGGCCUGAGAGGGUGAUCGGCCACAAGGGGACACGGACACGGCCAUUGCGCAUUCUGGAGGCAGCAGUGCGAAAUAUAGGACGAUGGACCGAGAGUCUGAUCCAGCAAUUCUGUGUGCACGAUGAAGUUUUUCGGAAUGAAAAGUACUUUCAGUUGAGAAGAAAAAAAUGACGGUACCAACAGAAGAAGUGACGGCUAAAUACGUG